This 254-nucleotide ribosomal RNA is filed under the name uncultured bacterium. Its description in RNAcentral is "partial 16S ribosomal RNA". It matches the Rfam family "Bacterial small subunit ribosomal RNA", at positions 524 to 776 of the family's 1533-position model. The record is from RNAcentral.
UACGGGGGGGGCAAGCGUUGUUCGGAUUUACUGGGCGUAAAGGGCGCGUAGGCGGCAUGACAAGUCACUUGUGAAAUCUCUGGGCUUAACCCAGAACGGCCAAGUGAUACUGUCGCGCUAGAGUGCGGAAGGGGCAAUCGGAAUUCUCGGUGUAGCGGUGAAAUGCGUAGAUAUCGAGAGGAACACCUGAGGUGAAGACGGGUUGCUGGGCCGACACUGACGCUGAGUGCGCGAAAGCCAGGGGAGCAAACGGG